This 124-nucleotide small nuclear RNA is filed under the name Cervus hanglu yarkandensis (Yarkand deer). RNAcentral's name for it is "U4 spliceosomal RNA (ENSCHYG00000027125.1)". The stretch from base 1 to 78 matches the Rfam family "U4 spliceosomal RNA". Rfam says of the family: U4 small nuclear RNA (U4 snRNA) is a component of the major U2-dependent spliceosome. Lineage: Eukaryota; Metazoa; Chordata; Mammalia; Artiodactyla; Cervidae. The record is from RNAcentral.
AGCUUUGCGCAGUGGCAGUAUCGUAGCCAAUGAGGUUUAUCCGAGGCACAAUUAUUGCUAAUUGAAAACUGAAUUGCAGGCGGAUUCUUUACCAACUAAGAUAUGAGGGAAGCCUGAAAACAUG